This 5855-nucleotide long non-coding RNA is filed under the name Sus scrofa (pig). Its description in RNAcentral is "lncRNA (ENSSSCG00000057436.1)". The record is from RNAcentral. Lineage: Eukaryota; Metazoa; Chordata; Mammalia; Artiodactyla; Suidae.
CAGCUAUUGAAUGGGAGGGUUAGAAUUGAAACCUAGGCUUUAAACCGGUUUGAAAACUGUUUUAAACUGGGGUUCCUAAGAACCCCUGGAGCCAUGUGAUUAGACAAAGUUUGGAAAACUAACAUGCGUGUGUGUUAGUGGUGUGGGUCCUUGGGGAGGUGGGAAGGAGGGAGUAGCACCUUUGAAGGGCUCCCAUCUCUCGUCUUUAUCCCACCCCACCUCUCCCCCUUUUCUGCCACCAAGAGCAUGGACUCUUUCCCUGGCCUCUGCUUUGCCAGUUUCUUUGAACCUACUCUGCCCAGUGCCUAUGUUUCCUGGCAUCAUGAUUGGCAGGCACUGUUGGAACAGCACAGAAGGGGCAUCUCUGAGUAGAGCAGAUGAGGACAGAGGGCACAGACCUUGACAUGGUGCAGUGCUGUGCCAGGCCAGAGUCAGAGGGCAAUGCGCAUCCCAGCCAGAGGCAGGAAGUGGCAGAGGCAAGUUGAACGAACACCCUGGGUCCCUCUGGACUCCAACCAGCACUGGAAAUUUUCACGAAUGCUAAAUCCACUUGCUCCUUUACAGGAAAAGCUGACCCUUGAGCCAUCUUUCCUUCAGCAGUUCCAGUUUGUUUUUCCAGUGGCCUUCUGCCUUAGCCAUCAUUGCAAUCAGCCCUUGGGCUUAAGGGGCUAAAUUGAUGAUCUUUUUGAAUACCCAGAGACUCAUACUCACAACAUACAGGAAUAAAGUGACAUGAUCAUAAACACCAACAUACUCCUGUAGGCCAAAACACAUUUGCACGCUUCUUGGUCUUGCUCCCAAAAUAAAUUACUGGUCAUUGAAAUUUAAGAAGAACAAAGGAAAUUCCAAAGCAGAACUCCUUACUGUACAAAUGCCUAAAUUCAAGCCCCAUCCUUAUUCUAGUUCAUCAUUAUUAUUUUGUAGGGAAAACUCAUUACAGUGAUGAUAAACUCACGGUGGCAUUUCAGAUUUAAUUUUUCAAGAAUUUCCAAGGAAUCCAUUAAUGGAAUGAAAUUAGCUGGCAGAUACUGGAGAGAUAUGUAGAAGGACAACUUUCUAGAUUAUUGCCACUGUUAAUUGUGGUCAUCAAUAUUGAAAAGUACAAGAAUCAUGGAGAAACAAGAGGAGUGAUAGAAAGAACACUGAGCUUGUAAUCAGAAGCCCUUGUUCAAAUUCUUAUUACUUGUUGUGUGGUCUUAAACAGAUAGUUUAACUCCUUGCAGAGUCAGUUACUUCCUUGGUAAAACUGCAAUAACAAAAAUCUACCCAAAAGUAAUAAACACAAGAGACAAAAGUACCUGCAACACAUGAAUAUUCAUUAUUGUUUGAAUAAACUUGUGAUUAACCCACUCUCAUGCAGAGUUAAUUAAUCUGAAGAUUUUGAAAGCCUAACUGUAUUUCCCCCUUGAUCCUGUAGAUAACUAUUGUUCAAGAUGACAUCUGUGAGGCAUUGCAAGAUUUUGGUAUAUUCCCUAAAUAACCAAAUCAAAAUGAAACCAUAUGGUUUUUAUGUUAGAGGGAUUACUGACUUUCAAGAAAUUAGCAUACAAUAAAAUAAUUUUCAUGUGAGGCAAUGCUCAGAUUUCAGAUAACGUAUGCAGACAAUUAACCAGAAUAAUGUAGUCUUACUGACACAAUCAUUUCCAUAUAAGGAGGCACACCUGCCAAACUCAGAAAAACAUCUUUUUGUUAUUUUUCCUGGAGUUUUAGCCUUGAGCUGCCACGGAGAAAGGAAAUGCCCUUCUCAGUUCUCUUCAAUUCCUUUGACUCACAUUCAUCAAGAUACUGAACAUUUUCAGAAGGGGUGGAUUUGUUCCCCUCAAUUUCUACCCAUUUUUCAUUUUGCUACUCAAAGCUAUUGAAUGGGACAUGACAAAUUUCACUUUUCUCUGAGACACCAACUGGGCUUUCCUUUGAAUUUAAUGCCCAACAAUAUUUGUAGCCUUAUUUAUCCCGUCUACUGAUUAAAGUCAUAAUUAAAAGAAUGACUCCCUAGCACAGGGAACUAUGCUUAAUAUAUUUUAAUUACAUUUAAUGGAAGAGAAUGUUCAAAACGAAUGCAUAUGUGUGUGUUUGUGUAUGUGUGUGUGUAUAACUGAAUCACGUUGAAAUACACAUGACACUAAUACAACAUUGUCAAUCAACUAUAUUUCAAUAAAAUUAUAAAAUAUAAAUUUACCAACCCCCAAAUAAAUUCCUCCACUCUACCAAUUUUUUUCUAUUAAGAAAAAUAUAAUACUAAAAAAAUACCAUCAAAAAAUAAAAGAAUGUCUCAAGAGGAUUCUGUCCUGGCUACGGAGGCUUCCAACUGAACAGCCAGAGAGGCCCGUCCUUACCGUCCCCUGCAGCAUGGCUUCUAUGUGUCAUUGGGCUGUGGCCUGGACAGCUGCCAAGGUGGCUGGAAGAAUAUGUGUGUGACUUCUUGAUCAUUGUAGGGGCAGCUCAUACCUGGAAAACUGGGGUUGUCAUAUCCUUCUGAAUCAGUAAGAAGUUAAAUAAGCCCCCUUCUCAACUUCCUUUCUGUCUCUUGGCUCCCUUUGGAAGACAAUCCAGUUCUUAUCCCUUGACAGAGCAGUUUCUGACCAGGAAAUAGUUGAAAAAGUGCAGUUAUCUCCUUCAAGAAAACUCUUGAGUCUUCCUAGAUGCAAAGGGAGACAGGAAGUUCUUUUCUCAGAGGAGUUUUCAGUUUUUUUUUUUUUUUUUUUGAGUUGGCAUAAGCAUACCUUCCCUUAACGAACAUGCAUGUGAUAGUUUAACUUCACAGAAAUUUGUAUGAUUAACCUAAACACCUUGAAAUCUUACUUGAUUCCUCUGUGUGUAAAACAUAAUAAUACCUUAGAUUAAGUUUUAAAGAAAUACAAACAACUAGAUACUGUUAGGCAUCUGAGAACUUUUAAAUAUUUACUAAACCUGGCUCAGACUGAUGUCAUUUUCCUGGGCUGAGUAGAUAGAUUUCACCUCCCAACUUUGUAAUCCUAGAUCAAUUACGUCAAAUGUGGUGGAACCUAGACCCACCAAGAUUGGGAUCCAAUAACAUCCUUGCUUGUAGUUCUUGUGGUUAAAAAGAAAAAAUAAAGAAUUUAAAGAAUCCAUAUUGUUAUCCAGCCUGACAAUUUCAUUCCUUUACUUGAAGAAUAUAGCCUAUUUUUAAUGUAAUUACUAACAUAAAUGAAUUUACAUCUGUCUUUCUCUUAUUUGUUUGCUAUUUGGCUUAUUUCUUGUUUCUUUUUUAAUCCUUUUUUGUUUUAUAUUGGAUUAAUAAGAUAUUUUUAUUGUUCCAUUUUUUCUUUUACUAUUUUUAGUGAUUAUCCUAGAGAUUACAAUGCAGUCUUAAUUUAUCAUGGUGAAAACAGAUUAUACUAUUACUUUUACCAUUUCCUUUCCAUUACUAGAAUCUUAAUUUUAUUACUUCCUUUUACAAAGCAUUAUUUUUAUCAUUAUUUUUAGUUUUAUGCAUAUUUUAAAGCUAUGAAAUAUUGCAGUCAAUGGUCUUGAAGAAUCAAUAUUAAUUUACAUUUGCAUACAUAUUUAUCUUUUCCAGCAUUCUUAAUUUUUUUCCUGAAUUUCCAUGUUUUCAUCUGGGAUGCUUUUUUUUCUGCACAUGUAACUUUCCUGUAGUACAUAUUUGGUAAUAAAAACUUCUGCUUUUUUUAAUUUCUUAAAAUUAUUUUUUCUUUCAGUUUCAGAAAAGAGUAUUUUCACUUGGUAUAGAAUUCUAUUUGAUACUUACAUACUUUUAAUACCUUAACUCUGUCUUCUGGAGUUCCUGUUGUGGCACAGUGGAAAUGAAUCUGACUAGGAACCAUGAGGUUGUGGGUUCAAUCCCUGGCCUCACUCAUUGGGUUAAGGAUCUGGUGUUGCCAUGAGCUGUGGUGUAGGGUGCAGAUGUGGCUCAUAUCUGGCGUUGCUGUGGCUGUGGUGUAGGCUGGCAGCUGUAGCUCUGAUUCGACCCCUAGCCUGGAAACCUCCAUAUGCUGGGGGUGUGGCCUUAAAAAGACAAAACAAACAAACAAACACAACUCUGUCUUCUACCUCCUCAAUACAUUGUCUCCUGGCUUUCAUAAUUUCUAUUGAGAAGUCAGCUAUCACUCUUAUUUUUGCUCUCCUGAAGAUAAAUGCCCUUUCCUCUAUGGAUGCCAUUAAGUUUUUCUCUCUGCUUUUGGUUUUCAGCACUUUGGCUACCAUGUUCUUGAAUAUGCUUUGCUUUGUAUUUUUCUUGCUUGGGUUUCACAGAGCUUUUUAUAUCCACAUGUCUUUCAUCAGAUUUUGAAAAUUCUGUCAUUAUUUCUUUCGGUAUUGUUUCUGGGCCAUUUUCUCUUUUCACUCUUCCUUGGAUGCCAAUCAUAUAUAUAUUAAAACUUUUCUCAUGUUUCAUGUACCUCCUACAGUUUUUACACUUUUUUUCCUCCCUGUAAAUCAGCUUAGACACAGCAAAACACUAGACAAAAACAAACAAACAAAUGAAAAUCUUAACUGUCACUAAGCAUAUUGUUGAAUUCUUAAUUUCAGACACUUGUGCUUUUAAAUUUAUAGAACAUAUAUUUAAUGUUUUUUAAAAGUUACACAUUCAAAUUAUCUGUGAAUUUAUGCAUACCUUCAUCUCUUCUAUCCAUCUUUUCUUCAAUUUUCUUAGAAAUAUUCAUUGCAUUUAUUUUAAAACCCUUAACUCCUAACUCCAACAUUUGAAUUAUCUAUGGGUCUUUUUCUCUUAUAUGAUGUGCAUAAUCUAUAAAAGAACCACAGAUGCUCUGGACAAAAUUAAGUCCUAUCCAAGAAAGUUCCCUCUUUUCUCUAUUAGGUAGAAAAGGCAAAUCACUGACCUCCUCACAACCACCAGAAAUUGAGCUCAUACUGGGCUGGAUGGCUGUUAUAAAACUCAGUGCACCUCUGAUUUUCUCUUGUUUGUCAGUUGUGGAACCCAAGGAUUUGAAUGAACACCUUAGUCCUGAAAAACUGUGUGAGAUUAUGUUCUAACCAUCACAGACUUUCAGUGUGGUGCUUUAGCCUCCCUCCUUACACAGCAAGUUUGAAAAUUCAAAAUCUGUCAAAUAUCUUGAAGCAGACCCCCUACUUUUAUGGGUCUUUGUUUCCUUCACCAUAUGUGAGAGUUCACUUUUUCUUUAAAAGAUUUUUGCCCAGUUCACUAGACUUCCUCAUAGACUUACAACUGAGUAAACGUUCAACAGGGCCAUGGCUUCCAAGUUUCCUAACAGGUAACUUUGGGUCCAUGUAACUGCCAAAAUUUGCUUCUUUCUCUUUCCUUUGGAAGAGUCCCUCUGUUUGGAUAGGCAAUUCUCAACUCACAACUAAAUGUUUCAAAUGCUCCAAGUGGGGAAAAAAAUUACUAAUGUUGAUUAGCUUUCCUUGAGAUGGGUUUUCUUUCUCUGGAUUUUACUUGAUCUUGUCCUCAUAGCUUUUGCAGAUCUGUGAUCCUUUAAAAUUGUGACUUUUUUUUUUUUGUAAUAUAUGUGGCUUUGUCUGUGGCAGUGAGAACAGUGAUCAGCUAUGACCUCUGCAUCCUGUGCAAAAGAUGAAACCAUAAUUUUCUGAGCCAUGUUCUGAUUCAUUGGUUCUAGUCACUGUCAAUCUAUUUUAUUGUAAUUAAAUAUGGGUACAAUAAUGUAUAAAUUGGAGUUCCCGUCAUGGUGCAGUGGUUAACAAAUCUGACUAGGAACCAUGAGGUUGCAGGUUUGAUCCCCGGCCUUGCUCAGUGGGUUAAGGAUCUGGCAUUGCCAUGAGCUGUGAUGUAGGUUGCAGGCGAGGCUCGGAUCUGGCAUUGCUGUGGCUCUGGUGUAGGCCAGCAGCUGCAGCUCUGAUUAGACCCCUAGCCUGGGAACCUCCAUGUGCCAUGGGUG